This 537-nucleotide long non-coding RNA is filed under the name Elaeis guineensis (African oil palm). RNAcentral describes it as "long non-coding RNA (EGUI_LNC027110)". The record is from RNAcentral. Lineage: Eukaryota; Viridiplantae; Streptophyta; Magnoliopsida; Arecales; Arecaceae.
UGUCCUAAGCUAAGUAAAUAUCCCCAUUCUCCUCACUUUCGCCUCUUAUCAAAAGGGAAAAAAAAGCAUCUUAAUUUUAGUCCAAGCAAACCCAAUCGUAUCUGGAUGAACCAAAUAAAAAAAGCUUGUCAUUUUUUUGAAGAAUAAUCAGAGAUGAGAUGGAGUUCUAGACAUCUCUAGCCUUGCUGACCGGGUUCUCGCCUUCUUGUGUCUCCUCCAUGCCAUUUUCCCUUGAAGCUGCGCUUCACAAUAACAGAGUUUUCCAACUGCAUGUUCAACUAAUUUUGCUCCCGCUACUUCGACAUCAACGAGACUGACAGAAAACUCAAAGCUUGCACUUCUAACCAUGAGAAACUCAAUGCUUAGAAUGCCUAAAAUUUCUUUAUCGAAAGUAUUUUGGGAAAAUUAGCACUCUUAGCCAGCGAAAAUUAUACCCUACACCAUAUACACUACACUAUGAGUGGUGCACCAUGGGCACAAUCGAUCCAUGAUGAAGUAAGGGAGGCAAUAAUCUAAGAUAAGCAUAUCAUAAAUGAG